GGAAGGAUCAUUAACACUCUCUUCAUCAUUGAGAAAGAAAAAAAUAACACCAUUCGGUUGAACAACCAAAACGUACCUUUUCCGGGGCUCGGGUGAGCCAGUCACUUGCUGCUGCUGCAGGGAUUGCUUUGUCAAGACCUGCAGUGGUAGUGGGUGCGGACGCAAUGCAAAUUGCGUCACAGCCCUGAGUUUCCGUUGAACCCCCAUUUUUUUAACACCCUUUAUGGGCAAACCAUACCACUUCAUUGUGGUUAACCUCAAGUUUCACUUUUUGAACAAAAAAAAAAUUAUAAAACAACUUUUGGCAGUGGAUAUCUUGGCUCUUGCAUCGAUGAAGAACGCAGCAAAUUGCGAUAACUAAUGUGAAUCGCAGAAAUCUGUGAAUCAUCAAAACUUUGAACGCACCUUGCGGUCAUCCCUCGGAUGGCCAUGCCUGUUUGAGAAUUGGUAUUAUCUCUCAACCCGCUCGUUUCGGGUUGGAGGCUGAGGCUGAUGGCGUUAAACGAACUUUAACCGGUUCCGCGAUGCUGUCUUCCUUUAAUACGCAGCUCCACAGGUCACACUUUUCUGUUGCUGCCUAUAUUACGAUAUAAGCAGCAACGCUACAUGGAAAAGAGCGACCGCUCAUUGUGGAUUGCAUAUUUCAAAAUUUUACCCAUUAAUCUCAAAUCAGGCAAGAGUACCCGCUGAACUUAAGCAUAUUACUAAGCGGAGGAAAAGAAACUAACUAGGAUUCCCUCAGUAGCAGCGAGUGAACAGGGAAAAGCUCAAAGUUUGAAUCGGGAAGGGCUUGUUCUCAACCCGAGUUGUACUUUGUAGAUCUACCUUUGGGAGGCGCCGGGUAUAAGUUUGUCUCAGAAUGCGGCAUCAAAGAGGGUGAAAAUCCCGUAUUUGACCCGGAAAGCUCCUCUCUACACGGGGUGGCAUCGUAGAGUCAGGCUGUUUGGGAUUGCAGCCCAAAGUGGGUGGUAAGAUUCAUCUAAAGCUAAAUAUCUGCAAGAGACCGAUAGUGAACAAGUACCGUGAGGGAAAGAUGAAAAGAACUUUGAAAAGAGAGUGACAAUAGUCCUUGAAACUGCCAAAGGGACAAGCGUUAGGAACUGUUGUUGCGCUUCGGAUCUGUUUGUCAAGCUACACUGCCUGUUUUCGCGGAGCCGCAAGGCCUGUGGAUUUGGGAUUUGAUGUGGCUUGGUGGGCGUCUGAUCCGAGGAUUGCCGGUCAGCCACACUUUCGCACGCUCGCAAAACGCUUGGAAGUUUUUUCCUUGUGCGGAACGAGCUGGGCUUGAGUGCGGACCUCUACUCUGCCGGAGUAGGGCUGGUUGGGAUGGGAGCAUUGACUCGGAGCCAGGUUGCUCGAGAGCGUCGGAACUGCUUGCAGGGCCGUGCUCGGAGGUGGCCUUUUUUCGGGUGUUCCUGCCUGCCAGAGGCUGACUACCUCAUGGUUUCUAACGUCCCGUCUUGAAACACGGACCAAGGAGUCUAGCAUAUAUGCGAGUAUUCGGGUGGUAAACCCAUUGAAUGCGCAAUGAAGGUGAAGGCUCCGCAAGGGGCUGAGGUAGGAAUCCUCGGGUUCGCCCGGGGAGGCACUAUCGACCGAUCUGGAUGUUUUUUGAAGGAUUCGAGUUAGAGCAUAUCUGCUAGGACCCGAAAGACGGUGAACUAUGCCUGUAUAGGGUAAAGCCAGAGGAAACUCUGGUGGAAGCUCGUAGCGAUACUGACGUGCAAAUCGUUCGUCAAAUAUGGGUAUAGGGGCGAAAGACUAAUCGAACCGUCUAGUAGCUGGUUCCCUC
Molecule: unclassified non-coding RNA, 1792 nt
Filed under: uncultured fungus
Lineage: Eukaryota; Fungi
Description: sequence contains 18S rRNA gene, ITS1, 5.8S rRNA gene, ITS2, 28S rRNA gene
Rfam family: Eukaryotic large subunit ribosomal RNA (bases 660-1792)
Source: RNAcentral